GUUACUUCAGAAACACCCAACUACAACUACAACCCGGUUACUUCAGAAAUAUCCAACUACAACUACAACCCUGUUACUUCAUAAACACCCAACUACAACCCCGUUACUUCAGAAACACCCAACUACAACUACAACCCUGUUACUUCAGAAACACCCAACUACAACUACAACCCCGAUACUUCAGAAACACCCAACUACAACUACAACCCCGUUACUUCAGAAACACCCAACUACAACUACAACCCGGUUACUUCAGAAACACCCAACUACAACUACAACCCGGUUACUUCAGAAAUAUCCAACUACAACUACAACCCUGUUACUUCAUAAACACCCAACUACAACCCCGUUACUUCAGAAACACCCAACUACAACUACAACCCUGUUACUUCAGAAACACCCAACUACAACUACAACCCUGUUACUUCAGAAACACCCAACUACAACUACAACCCCGAUACUUCAGAAACACCCAACUACAACUACAACCCCGUUACUUAAGAAACACCCAACUACAACUACAACCCGGUUACUUCAGAAACACCCAACUACAACUACAACCCGGUUACUUCAGAAAUAUCCAACUACAACUACAACCCUGUUACUUCAUAAACACCCAACUACAACCCCGUUACUUCAGAAACACCCAACUACAACUACAACCCUGUUACUUCAGAAACACCCAACUACAACUACAACCCUGUUACUUCAGAAACACCCAACUACAACUACAACCCCGAUACUUCAGAAACACCCAACUACAACUACAACCCCGUUACUUCAGAAACACCCAACUACAACUACAACCCGGUUACUUCAGAAACACCCAACUACAACUACAACCCGGUUACUUCAGAAAUAUCCAACUACAACUACAACCCUGUUACUUCAUAAACACCCAACUACAACCCCGUUACUUCAGAAACACCCAACUACAACUACAACCCCGUUACUUCAGAAACACCCAAAUACAACUACAACCCUGUUACUUCAGAAACACCCAACUACAACCCCGUUACUUCAGAAACACCCAACUACAACUACAACCCCAUUACUUCAGAAACACCCAACUACAACUACAACCCAGUUACUUCAGAAACACCCAGCUACAACUACAACCCUGUUACUUCAGAAACACCCAACUACAACCCCGUUACUUCAGAAACACCCAACUACAACUACAACCCCAUUACUUCAGAAACACCCAACUACAACUACAACCCCGUUACUUCAGAAACACCCAACUACAACUACAACCCAGUUACUUCAGAAACACCCAGCUACAACUACAACCCCGUUACUUCAGAAACACCCAGCUACAACUACAACCUGGCUACUUCAGAAACACCCAAGUACAGAAAUAUUUUAAAAGCCUAAUGGCUACAAAUGUUAAUUUCAUUUUCACCCAGGACAGACCUUGGCUGAGUUCCUGACUUCCUUCCCUUAAGAAUCAGAUUCGAUUUUUGAACUGUAUUUAGUUCUGUAAAAUUAUUGCUUGUGUAAGUUUAAUAUCAAAACUGCAUUCCAGCAAAAGCACUAUUUAAAGUAUUUAAGGCAAAUCAAACCUACCAUCUGUAACAGAGUUGUUCCUUCCCAAAUGUGCUCAGUGAACUGGAAAGUCACCGUGUGUGAUUGUUAGUGUUAAUGUUAAAGAUAAGAGAAGGACCUUUGACUUGUAAUUGGGUAUUUCUGUAAGUCUGAACUUGACAGUUACGCUUAAUCAUAAACACCAAAGAGAUGGAGAGAUAAGAGACCAGUUCCAAAUACUAAUGCUGUAUGUGCACAUGUGCAUGUGUGUGUGAGUAGUUUGUGUGUAU
Pygocentrus nattereri (red-bellied piranha) is the source of this 1817-nucleotide long non-coding RNA. The record is from Ensembl. Lineage: Eukaryota; Metazoa; Chordata; Actinopteri; Characiformes; Serrasalmidae.